GGGGAAUCUUGCACAAUGGGGGAAACCCUGAUGCAGCGACGCCGCGUGAGUGAUGAAGCCCUUCGGGGUGUAAAGCUCUUUCGGCAGGGACGAUAAUGACGGUACCUGCGGAAGAAGCUGCGGCUAACUACGUGCCAGCAGCCGCGGUAAUACGUAGGCAGCAAGCGUUGUUCGGAAUUACUGGGCGUAAAGAGUGUGUAGGCGGUGUCGUAAGUUUGGUGUGAAAUCUCCCGGCUUAACUGGGAGGGUGCGCCGAAGACUGCGAUGCUCGAGGAUGGGAGAGGAAAGCGGAAUUCCUGGUGUAGCGGUGAAAUGCGUAGAUAUCAGGAGGAACACCUGCGGUGUAGACGGCUUUCUGGACCACCCCUGACGCUGAGACACGAAAGCGUGGGUAGCAAACAGGA
Molecule: ribosomal RNA, 404 nt
Filed under: uncultured Paludibaculum sp.
Lineage: Bacteria; Pseudomonadati; Acidobacteriota; Terriglobia; Bryobacterales; Bryobacteraceae
Description: bacterial SSU rRNA
Rfam family: Bacterial small subunit ribosomal RNA
Source: RNAcentral